AGUCGACGGCAGCACGGGAGCAAUCCUGGUGGCGAGUGGCGAACGGGUGAGUAAUGUAUCGGAACGUACCUUUCAGUGGGGGAUAACGUAGCGAAAGUUACGCUAAUACCGCAUAUUCUGUGAGCAGGAAAGCAGGGGAUCGCAAGACCUUGCGCUGAUUGAGCGGCCGAUAUCAGAUUAGCUAGUUGGUGAGGUAAAGGCUCACCAAGGCGACGAUCUGUAGCGGGUCUGAGAGGAUGAUCCGCCACACUGGAACUGAGACACGGUCCAGACUCCUACGGGAGGCAGCAGUGGGGAAUUUUGGACAAUGGGGGCAACCCUGAUCCAGCCAUGCCGCGUGAGUGAAGAAGGCCUUCGGGUUGUAAAGCUCUUUCAGCCGGGAAGAAAUCACAUGGGUUAAUACCCUGUGUGGAUGACGGUACCGGAAUAAGAAGCACCGGCUAACUACGUGCCAGCAGCCGCGGUAAUACGUAGGGUGCGAGCGUUAAUCGGAAUUACUGGGCGUAAAGCGUGCGCAGGCGGUUUGUUAAGAUAGGCGUGAAAUCCCCGGGCUCAACCUGGGAACUGCGUUUAUGACUGGCAGGCUAGAGUAUGACAGAGGGGGGUGGAAUUCCACGUGUAGCAGUGAAAUGCGUAGAGAUGUGGAGGAACACCGAUGGCGAAGGCAGCCCCCUGGGCCAAUACUGACGCUCAUGCACGAAAGCGUGGGUAGCAAACAGGAUUAGAUACCCUGGUAGUCCACGCCCUAAACGAUGUCAACUAGGUGUUGGGUGGGUAAAACCAUUUAGUACCGGAGCUAACGCGUGAAGUUGACCGCCUGGGGAGUACGGC
RNAcentral lists this ribosomal RNA (831 nucleotides) under uncultured bacterium. Its description in RNAcentral is "bacterial SSU rRNA". It matches the Rfam family "Bacterial small subunit ribosomal RNA", at positions 60 to 886 of the family's 1533-position model. The record is from RNAcentral.